RNAcentral lists this ribosomal RNA (399 nucleotides) under uncultured bacterium. Its description in RNAcentral is "partial 16S ribosomal RNA". It matches the Rfam family "Bacterial small subunit ribosomal RNA", at positions 360 to 774 of the family's 1533-position model. The record is from RNAcentral.
AAUAUUGCACAAUGGAGGGAACUCUGAUGCAGCAACGCCGCGUGAGUGAAGAAGGUCUUCGGAUCGUAAAACUCUGUCAUUGGGGAAGAAGAAAUGACGGUACCCAAUGAGGAAGCACCGGCUUACUACGACCCACCAGCCGCGGUAAUACGUAGGGGGCGAGCGUUGUCCGGAAUUACUGGGCGUAAAGGGUACGUAGGCGGCUAUAUAAGUCAGGUGUGAAAUACCAGUGCUUAACCCUGGAAUUGCAUUUGAAACUGUGUAGCUUGAGUGCAGGAGAGGAGAGUGGAAUUCCUGGUGUAGCGGUGAAAUGCGUAGAUAUUAGGAGGAACACCAGUGGCGAAGGCGACUUUCUGGACUGUAACUGACGCUGAGGUACGAAAGCGUGGGUAGCGAACA